AUAAAUGUAUAUGUUCUUCUUUGUAUAGUUAAUAUGAAAUAGAAUAGGAUACAUUGAAAGUUAAAUAAUCGGAAGAUAAAAUGUUUUUUAGUCAAACUGUAGUUUUUAAUAAAUGAUUGAUAAUAUUUUAUUAAAAUUUAUGUAUUUUUUUAUUAUUUUUAUUCAAUCGAAGUAAUAUUUAUAUUUCACAAUAUAUUAUAACCUUACUUUCAUAAUUGUCAUUUGAAUUUCAUCAAAAUGAUGCAACAGUAUAUGAAAGAAUUAGAACAGGAUCCAUUUGAUCCUGAAGAAUUUGUUGAAAGACUUGCUUGGAGAACACUUAAUGAUACGAUAAAAGACGAUGGAAAGACAUUUUUCGAUCCUACAAUAGUGCAUGAGACAUUUUUACAAGCAAUUAAAGAUUUACAAAUUCUACAAGAACGUCAACAAAAAAAAUGUGAUAAACUUGAAACAGCAUUAAAAGAUGAAGAAGCAAAACAUAUACUUGAAAUACUUGAAUUACAAGAAAGAAAUAAACAUUCUAUUGAUCUCUUUCAUCAAUUAGAUGAAAGAAUAAAUCUUGUGGCUACUAAGGUUUUACAUUUAGGAGAUCAAUUGGAAAGUGUUAAUACACCAAGAGCUAGAGCUGUUGAGGCUCAAAAAUUAAUGAGACAUUUUUCAGAUUUUUUAAGCCCUGGACCUUUAACAGAUCCAAUUUUUACAGAUAAGUCAUCGCUACAUGAAGCAGCAGAUGUGAUACAAAAACUUCAUCUUAUUUCGCAAGAAUUACCAUCUGAAAAAUUUGAACAUGCCAAAAAAAAAAUUAUUGCUAAAUAUGAUGAAAUUGAAAGAAAUCUUAUAGAAGAAUUUGUUAGAGCACAUAAUAGGGAAGAUGCUAAUCGUAUGAAAGAAUUAGCAUCAGUCUUAACUCAUUUUAAAGGAUAUUCUCAAUGCAUAGAUGCAUUUAUAGAACAAAGCCAAAUGGGUUCAUUUGGUGGAAAGGAUGUUUUUCAAGAUGUUAUACCUAUGUGUACAAAAUAUCACAAAUUAAUGCAACAGGUAUUUACAAAUCCUGAACAAGUGAUGGCAAAAUUUGUAUUAAAUAUUUAUCAUUUAAGACUUCAAAAAUAUGCAGUUGCUAAAUUAGUAGAUAAAACUGAUUCUGAUAAAUAUCUUAAAAAUUUAUAUGAUUUAUAUACAAGGACUGUGAAAUUGUCUACAGAAUUAAAAAUAUUUAAUAUAUGUACUGAUGAAACAUAUCUUACUAAACUUACUAGAAAUAUAUUUCAAAAAUAUCUGGAUACUUAUAUCAUCAUUGAAAUAAAAGCAUUGAGAGAAAAAUCAGCAGCUCUUCUUAUUGAAUAUUAUGAAUCUAAAAAUCAUCAAAAGAAACAAUUGCAAAGUGGAGGAUUUCAAGAAUUAAGAAGAGAUCUACAAGCAGUUUUAGGUGCAAGAACUAAUAUCAAUAUUGCACAAAUAGAAAAUUAUGGAGGAGAAACAUUUUUAUCAGAAGAACUUGCAAUUGCUUUAUUACAAAGAAGUAAAGUGGCAUUUCAAAGAUGUCAGUUAUUAUCAAAAUCUGAUGAAAUACCAAUGAAUGCAUUUCAAAUUUUUGAAAUAUUAUUACAAUAUUUAAUAAGUGAACAUGUUGAUUAUGCAUUAGAAUUGGGUUUACAAAGUGUACCAAUUCCUGAAAGUAGAACUCAACCUGAAAUACAUUUUUUCAAUAUUGUACGUCAAUGCAAUGCAAUUGUACGCUUAUUAGAAGAACAAUUUAAUGAUAGUGUGAUACCUCUUAUUAUAUCAACACCCAAACACGGAGAUUGCAUGUUAAAAAAAAAAAUUAUAUUGGAUCAAAUUGAUAUGAAACUAGAGACAGGAUUAGAUAGAAGUAUAAAUGCUAUUAUUGGUUGGGUAAAAGUAUACUUACAAAAUGAACAACGAAAGACUGAUUUUAAACCUGAAACUGAUGUGGAUACUUUAAGCACUUCAGCUUGUUUAACAGUAGUUCAUUUCAGUUUAAUUCUGCUGGUGCUAUGUGUGCGAUAUGCGAUAUGAACGAAUAUCGUAAAUGUGUUAAAGAACUUGAAAUAGAUCUUGUUACUUCUUUGUUUGAUACUUUAUAUGCUUUAUGCAAUUUAUUAUUAGUUAAACCAGAAAAUUUGAAACAAGUUUGUACAGGAGAUCAAUUGGCAACAUUAGAUCGUAAUGUUUUAAUAAAUUUUAUACAAUUAAGAACUGAUUAUAAGACGCAAAAAUUAGCAAAUUGUUUGAAAGGUUUAGCUACCUAAUAACUUUGUUUGAUCUAUAGAUGUUCAUAAUUUUUUAGGAUUAUACACAAUAUUUAUGAUUAUAAUAUUAAUAUCAUUGUGUAAAUUAAUAAGUGAAGAUAUUGCUUUCAUUGCAAUAAUAAUACUGUACUAUAUAACCAAUUGUACAAAACUUUGUUAUAAAAAUGUUAUAUAAAUCGUUAAAAUAUAUAAAAA
RNAcentral lists this unclassified non-coding RNA (2465 nucleotides) under Apis dorsata (giant honeybee). RNAcentral describes it as "exocyst complex component 5, transcript variant X3". The record is from RNAcentral. Lineage: Eukaryota; Metazoa; Arthropoda; Insecta; Hymenoptera; Apidae.